Penaeus vannamei (Pacific white shrimp) is the source of this 438-nucleotide non-coding RNA. NCBI's taxonomy places the organism in Eukaryota, Metazoa, Arthropoda, Malacostraca, Decapoda, Penaeidae. The record is from RefSeq and is a predicted model, not a curated record.
CUGUAAUUGAAAAGACACCUUCAGUAACUUCCAGCGAACCCCCAGAUAUCCCGGGAUGCGUUCCCUUCCGGUACGGAGAGGAAAUCGUAAGCGGAUGUGUCGGCGAGGAAGGGAAGGAGGAGAUAAUUGAGACGAAGAGAGAAGGAGUAUUAAUCAGCUGGCAAGUGAAAGGCAGAUGGUGCGCCUCAGAAGUAGACAGGAAUAUGACUGUGCUCUCAAUUAUAGGGUGCCCAGUCGUAUCAUGUGUCCACGGCUGCGUUCCCUUCCGAUACGGAGGGGAAAUCGUGCGAGGAUGCCUGGGUGAGGAAGGGAAGGAGGAGACAAUCAAGGUAGAGGGAGAAGGAGGAAUGAUAUAUAGCUGGACAGUGAACGGCAGAUGGUGCGCUUCGAAGGUAGACGGGAAUAUGAGUAUCGUUGCGAUUAUAUCCUGCCCAACCU